CCUACGGGGUGCAGCAGUGGGGAAUUUUGGACAAUGGGCGCAAGCCUGAUCCAGCUAUUCCGCGUGUGGGAAGACGGCCUUCGGGUUGUAAACCACUUUUGUAGAGAACGAAAAGUCUAUUGAUAAUACCGAUAGAUGAUGACGGUACUCUAAGAAUAAGCACCGGCUAACUACGUGCCAGCAGCCGCGGUAAUACGUAGGGUGCGAGCGUUAAUCGGAAUUACUGGGCGUAAAGGGUGUGCAGGCGGUUUUGCAAGAUGGAUGUGAAAGCCCCGGGCUUAACCUGGGAAAGCCAUACAUGACUGCAAGACUAGAGUGCGUCAGAGGGGGGUGGAAUUCCAAGUGUAGCAGUGAAAUGCGUAGAUAUUUGGAAGAACACCGAUGGCGAAGGCAGCCCCCUGGGACGCAACUGACGCUCAUACACGAAAGCGUGGGGAGCAAACAGGAUUAGAUACCCUGGUAGUC
RNAcentral lists this ribosomal RNA (465 nucleotides) under uncultured bacterium. Its description in RNAcentral is "partial 16S ribosomal RNA". It matches the Rfam family "Bacterial small subunit ribosomal RNA", at positions 338 to 795 of the family's 1533-position model. The record is from RNAcentral.